Molecule: long non-coding RNA, 388 nt
Organism: Neopelma chrysocephalum (saffron-crested tyrant-manakin)
Lineage: Eukaryota; Metazoa; Chordata; Aves; Passeriformes; Pipridae
Exons: 2
Source: RefSeq, a predicted model, not a curated record
CCGAAGGGCGGCGGCGCCAUCUCGCGGCCGGCGGCGGCACCGCGGGCCCGGCCCGGCCCUGGGGAACCGCGGGGUUGACCUUCGCUCUGGGAAGUGUGGACAGAACCGUAAAAAAAAAAAAAAAAAAUCAAAACAAACCCCAAACAAGACAAAGGCGGUGCGUGGAAAUGAUCGCCGGUAGCAGCGGCACAGUUCAAAAGCCCCACAGGGCUCAUGUGCGACUGAUGAUGAGGGGAGGCGGAAGAAAAGGUCUCUCUUUGGAAGGCGGAUCCACUUCAAAGCUGUGGCGAUUUGAGGACUGACUGCCAAAGCACAGGGAGCCGUGCAGGGAAGCAGACAAUAGCCAGGCAAGGCUGGCCUUUCAGGCAGCGCUGCAGGAAUGAAAGAA